AUUGAACGCUGGCGGCAUGCCUUACACAUGCAAGUCGAACGGCAGCACGGAGCUUGCUCUGGUGGCGAGUGGCGAACGGGUGAGUAAUAUAUCGGAACGUACCCAAGAGUGGGGGAUAACGUAGCGAAAGUUACGCUAAUACCGCAUACGAUCUAAGGAUGAAAGUGGGGGAUCGCAAGACCUAAUGCUCCUGGAGCGGCCGAUAUCUGAUUAGCUAGUUGGUGAGGUAAAGGCUCACCAAGGCAUCGAUCAGUAGCUGGUCUGAGAGGACGAACAGCCACACUGGAACUGAGACACGGGCCAGACUCCGACGGGGUGCAGCAGUGGGGAAUUUUGGACAAUGGGGGCAACCCUGAUCCAGCAAUGCCGCGUGAGUGAAGAAGGCCUUCGGGUUGUAAAGCUCUUUUGUCAGGGAAGAAACGGUGAAGGCUAAUAUCCUUUGCUAAUGACGGUACCUGAAGAAUAAGCACCGGCUAACUACGUGCCAGCCGCCGCCGUAA
Molecule: ribosomal RNA, 500 nt
Filed under: uncultured bacterium
Lineage: Bacteria
Description: partial 16S ribosomal RNA
Rfam family: Bacterial small subunit ribosomal RNA
Source: RNAcentral